RNAcentral lists this transfer RNA (76 nucleotides) under Bacillota bacterium. RNAcentral's name for it is "tRNA-Lys". It matches the Rfam family "tRNA". From Rfam's summary of the family: Transfer RNA (tRNA) molecules are approximately 80 nucleotides in length. Their secondary structure includes four short double-helical elements and three loops (D, anti-codon, and T loops). Lineage: Bacteria; Bacillati; Bacillota. RNAcentral also lists the same sequence under 2 other names. The record is from RNAcentral.
GGGCCAUUAGCUCAGCGGUUAGAGCGCCCGCCUUUUAAGCGGGGCGUCGAUGGUUCGAAUCCAUCAUGGCCCACCA